RNAcentral lists this ribosomal RNA (216 nucleotides) under Triticum aestivum (bread wheat). RNAcentral's name for it is "partial small subunit ribosomal RNA". The record is from RNAcentral. Lineage: Eukaryota; Viridiplantae; Streptophyta; Magnoliopsida; Poales; Poaceae.
AUGGCCAACCGCGGCGGCGCGUUCGCUGCUCCGUGUGGAAAUGGCGAAGGAUCGGGAGGACUCCAACGACGAAGCCUGCCGAGGCGGGGGCAGAUCAAGGCGAGGAUAGCGUCUUCCGCCGUGCACUCCGUCGCCGCGGUGCUCCUGAGAGCUGUAGGAAGACAUCGGCUCGUUCUGAGGCGUGAGCUUGGUUCGACGAGUAGUCCUGUUAGGUGA